Acanthosepion pharaonis is the source of this 109-nucleotide non-coding RNA. The record is from the annotation of a GenBank genome assembly. NCBI's taxonomy places the organism in Eukaryota, Metazoa, Mollusca, Cephalopoda, Sepiida, Sepiidae.
GGACAUAUCACGUUGAAACAUCGGUUCUUGUCCGAUCAUCAAUGUUAAGCAAUGUCGAGCCUGGUCAAUACCUAGAUGAGUGACCGCCUGGGAAUACUAAGUGCUGUAA